GACGAACCGUGCGAACGUUAUUCGGAAUCACUGGGCUUAAAGCGCGUGUAGGCGGGGCGGCACGUCGGUCGCUGAAAUCCCCCGGCUCAACCGGGGAACGGGCGCCGAUACGACCGCCCUCGAGGGACGUAGGGGGACCUGGAACUUCCGGUGGAGCGGUGAAAUGCGUUGAGAUCGGAAGGAACGCCCGUGGCGAAAGCGAGGUCCUGGACGUCUGCUGACGCUGAGACGCGAAAGCCAGGGGAGCGAACGGG
This 254-nucleotide ribosomal RNA is filed under the name uncultured bacterium. RNAcentral's name for it is "partial 16S ribosomal RNA". It matches the Rfam family "Bacterial small subunit ribosomal RNA", at positions 524 to 776 of the family's 1533-position model. The record is from RNAcentral.